Camellia sinensis is the source of this 3670-nucleotide non-coding RNA. Lineage: Eukaryota; Viridiplantae; Streptophyta; Magnoliopsida; Ericales; Theaceae. The record is from RefSeq and is a predicted model, not a curated record.
CAAACUGCUUAUUCAUCUCUAAUGCCUUUUGAUUAACCGGCAGGUUCUACUUUAAUUUGUUUUAAAACAUGUCCUGUUCAAGAAAUUAUCAAGUUGGUUAUAUGUUGGAAAGUCUCUCAGCAGCAAGAAGUUACUCCCCACUGAAAUGAUGAAGCUUCCACUUUCGAGUCUCAGCCUACUUUUCUCGCUAACCAUCCAAGUGAUCCUCUUGAUCUUGAAACUGUCUUGUAUGAAAUUUGUUUUCGCUUCCACAGUAGGAAACAACACUGACAAACUUGCAUUGGUUGACUUCAAGUCUCAAAUAAAUGAUAAUCUCGGAGUCUUGGCCUCUUGGAAUGAUUCUCUCCAUUUCUGCCACUGGGAAGGAGUCACAUGUGGCCAAAAACACCAACGAGUCACCAGCUUGGAUCUUGUUGGGCAGAAUUUGUAUGGAACCCUAUCACCACAAAUUGGAAAUCUCUCAUUCCUUAGGUCACUCAACCUUGCAAGCAACGCCUUCCAAGGUGGUAUCCCCCAAGAUGUUGGUCGGUUGUUUAGGCUUACAAGUUUGAACUUGAGCCAUAAUUUUUUGGGACUUGAAAUACCAGUCGACCUGUCUCACUGUUCCAACCUCUUGACUCUUGAUUUGGGGUACAACAGUAUUUCCCAACAAAUUCCUUCCCAACUCGGCUCUUUGUCAAAGCUUGAGAUACUGUUUCUCAACAGCAACAAUCUCACAGGAAGGUUUCCGACUUCUAUAGGCAAUCUCUCAUCUCUCCAACAGAUUUCACUAACAUUCAACAAUUUGCAAGGAGAAAUUCCUGAUGAAAUAGCCCGGAUGACUAAGCUGACAGUGUUUGAGGUGGGGGCAAAUAAUCUUUCAGGGGUCUUUCCUCCUUCGCUUUACAACCUUUCCUCCCUGCAAGUCAUAGUUUUGGCAAAAAAUAAGUUUACUGGUGACCUCAGGGCUAACAUUGGACAUGAUCUUCCAAAUCUCCAAUUAUUGUUCCUAGGAGCAAAUCAAUUUACAGGACCCAUUCCAGUAUCAUUGUCAAAUACUUCAGGUCUUCAACAACUUGAUAUCAUUUACAACAAUUUCACAGGAAGCAUACCAAUGAGUUUUGGAAACCUACAGAAUUUAUCGCGCCUAUCUGCUCCAAGUAACCUUCUUGGAAGUGGUACUUUUGAUGAUUUGAGUUUUAUUAUUGUUUCUUUGUCGAAUUGCAGCAAUUUAAAAGUGUUUGACGUGAGCUACAAUCAAUUCAGAGGUGAGUUACCCUAUUCAUUGACUAAUCUUUCCACUAAACUAGAAUGCCUACAAUUAGGGGGAAACAAUCUGGGUGGGACCAUUCCCGUGGAAGUCUCAAGACUCCUUAACUUAAAUCGGCUUGGAUUAGAGCACAACUUGUUGUCGGGAAGUAUUCCUGAUUCAAUUGGGAAACUCUCGAAAUUAAAUUUUUUGGAAUUGGGUCAAAACAAAUUGACUGGGGUUAUCCCGUCUUCAUUUGGCAACCUAACGCUACUGUUAGAACUCUACUUGUAUAAUAACAGCUUCCAGGGAAGCAUACCUUCAAGUCUUGGCAAAUGCAAGUACCUGCAAACCAUACACCUUUGCCACAACAAAUUCAAUGGAACCAUACUUGAGUCAAUCAUUGGUCUUUCACCUACGUUGUUAGACCUUAACAUGUCUCACAAUUCUUUCACGGGUUCUCUGCCAUCAGAAAUUGCAGACUUCAGAAAUCUUGUCAUGCUAGAUGUCUCGUACAAUAUAUUGUCCGGUGAUAUUCCUGGCAGUUUGGGGAAGUGUUUGGCCUUGGAACAACCUUAUUUGCAAUCCAACUCCUUUCAAGGAACCAUUCCUGAUUUAGGCAAACUGAUGGGUAUUCAGUAUUUCGAUCUGUCGAGCAAUAACUUGUCUGGCCAAAUACCCAUGUACAUGGUAAAUUUUGCAUCGUUGCAAAAUUUGAAUAUAUCUUUGAACAAUCUUGAGGGUGAGGUACCGGUGCAAGGAGUCUUCAAAAAUGCGAGUGCAAUUGAGCUCUUUGGCAACAGUAACCUUUGUGGGGGGAUUGAAGAGCUACAUUUGGGGCCAUGUGAGGAACCCAAAAAGCAUUUCGCGCUCAAAUUAAUAUUGCUUGUUGUCAUCAUUUUCGCUUUUUGCUUUGCUCUGAUGAUGUUUCUAGUUUCACGUUACUGCUUGAGAAAGUUGAAGAACAAAACUAUUUCGAGUUCUUCAUUUGGGAGAGUAUACCCAAAGGUCUCCUAUGAAGAUCUCCUCAAUGCAACCGGCAGAUUCUCAAAGAGCAAUUUGAUUGGUUCGGGUAGUUUCGGCACCGUGUACAAAGGAAUCAUCUGUCCAGGAGAAACAACAGUUGCAAUUAAGGUUCUUAACCUUCAACAGCGAGGGGCUUCUAAGAGCUUCUUGGCUGAAUGCCAGGCAUUAGGGAACAUCUGGCACCGAAAUCUUGUCAAGGUUCUAACUGCUUGCUCUAGCAUUGAUUUUGAGGGAAAUGAAUUCAAAGCUUUAGUAUAUGAGUUCAUGCCAAAUGGGAGCUUGGAGAACUGGCUUCAUCCAGAAGAAGAACAAGAGAAAUGGAGAAAUAUGGAUCUUCUCCAAAGAAUCAAUGUUGCAACAGAUGUGGCGUUGGCAUUGCAUUAUCUUCAUAAUCAGUGCCAAGCCCCAAUAGUUCACUGUGAUCUAAAACCAAGCAAUGUCCUUCUUGACGAUGAUCUGACAGCUCAUGUAAGUGAUUUUGGUUUGGCAACGAUCCUCUUGAGAUCUAGUAAAGAUGCUAUUCUAAAUCAUUUUAGCUCAGCUGGAAUCAAGGGAACUAUUGGUUAUGUUGCUCCAGAGUAUGGCAUGGGAGGUCAAGUGUCAACUCGUGCAGACGUGUACAGCUAUGGGAUCCUCUUGUUGGAGAUGUUCACUGGAAGAAGGCCAACAGAUGGACUAUUCAAAAAUGAUUUGAACCUUCACAAAUUUGUUAAAGCGGCUUUGCCAGGGAGAGUAAUGGAGAUUGUGGACCGGUCUAUGGACAGUAAUGAGAUGGCAGAAAUCAAAAGUAGUGAACAUAGUGAAUGUUUGAUUUCUAUAUUUCAACUAGGAAUUGCUUGUUCAGCAGAAUCCCAAAGGGAAAGAAUGGACAUGAGAGAGGUAGCCUCGGCACUGGUUUUGAUCAGAGAGGGAUUCCUCCAAUCCAGAAAACAUGAACACUGCCCAGAGAGACAAGGAGCUCAAGUAUCUCAAAUUCGUGUGAAGGAGACCUAUCCUUGUGAAGAUGGUAGGCAACAUUUGCAUGAUGCAUUGCAGUUAUAUCAGGAAAGCUGACUACUUGUAGUUGUACCAUGUUUCCUAGAUUUUCAUCUUCAUCUUCAUCUUCAUCUUCUACCAUGUAAAUCAGAAAAGCUGAGUACAAGAUUUUGAUCUUCAUCUUCAAUGUAACUGAGGCUUCAUUGACGGAUUUUGUUGAGCAUUGCUUGUGAGGUUAUCUUUUUAUUUUUUAUUUUAUAUGCAAAAGUCAAUUGUUAGAUUAACUUCUAGGGAGCUAAAACCUAAAGCUAGCAUAAGACUAAGGAGUCACGUGCUCCCCUAAGUUUCUAAUAUUUAUACUAUUACCCUUAUAUAUAAAAUGUAUAUCUUGCUUAUCCUGUGUAAAACUUAAUCAAUGUAAAGUUUCUUUUUAUUUUAAAA